This 772-nucleotide ribosomal RNA is filed under the name Tarzetta sp. RNAcentral describes it as "partial large subunit ribosomal RNA". It matches the Rfam family "Eukaryotic large subunit ribosomal RNA", at positions 76 to 870 of the family's 3401-position model. The record is from RNAcentral. Lineage: Eukaryota; Fungi; Ascomycota; Pezizomycetes; Pezizales; Tarzettaceae.
UGCCUCAGUAACUGCGAGUGAAGCGGCAAAAGCUCAAAUUUGAAAUCUGUGCCCUCAAGGGCACCGAGUUGUAACCUUGAGAUACGUUUUCGACCGACAGGCCUGCCUUAAGUUCCUUGGAACAGGACGUCACAGAGGGUGAGAAUCCCGUGAACGGUAGGCCUCGAGGCGCAUGAUACGUAUUCGACGAGUCGAGUUGUUUGGGAAUGCAGCUCAAAGUGGGUGGUAAAUUUCAUCUAAAGCUAAAUAUUGGGGAGAGACCGAUAGCGCACAAGUAGAGUGAUCGAAAGAUGAAAAGCACUUUGAAAAGAGAGUUAAAAAGUACGUGAAAUUGUUGAAAGGGAAGCGCUUGAGACCAGACUCAAUCUCCGUUGAUCAACUUCAGUUCUCUGUUGUGCACUCGGCGGCUUUUGGGACAGCAUCGGUUCCCGCGGAGGGACAAAGCCUCAGGAAAUGUGGCACCCUUCGGGGUGUGUUAUAGUCCUCUGGGCAAUGCCUCCAGCGGGGACCGAGGACCGCGCUCCGGCUAGGAUGCUGUCAUAAUGGUCUCCAGCGACCCGUCUUGAAACACGGACCAAGGAGUCUAACAUCUAUGCGAGUGUUCGGGUGGAAAACCCUUGCGCGUAAUGAAAGUGAACGGAGGUGGGAAUCGCAAGACGCACCAUCGACCGAUCCUGAAGUCUUCCGAAGGAUUUGAGUAUGAGCAUAGCUGUUGGGACCCGAAAGAUGGUGAACUAUGCCUGAUAGGGUGAAGCAGGGGAAACUCUGGUGG